Petromyzon marinus (sea lamprey) is the source of this 827-nucleotide non-coding RNA. The record is from RefSeq and is a predicted model, not a curated record. Lineage: Eukaryota; Metazoa; Chordata; Hyperoartia; Petromyzontiformes; Petromyzontidae.
CUACCACCAACAUAAUCAUCAACAGUAGCAGUAUCAUCACCAACAUCAUCAUCAACAGUAGCACUAUCAUCACCAACAUCAUCAACAGUAGCAGUAUCAUCACCAACAUCAUCAGCCCCAUCAGUAGCAGAAUCAUAUCGCCGUGCAUUGUAGUAUCGCGAUAUAUCGUGGAUCGUAUCGCCGUGCAUUGUGGUAUCGCGAUAUAUCGUGGGUCGUAUCGCCGAGCAUUGUGGUAUCGCGAUAUAUCGUGGGUCGUACCGCCGAGCAUUGUGGUAUCGCGAUAUAUCGCGUUGACUCCUUGACGUCACGUCCGCUUCCAGGGUCGGCCCGGAACAUGUUUGGGAGAGCGGCACGUGACCCAAACCGGUCCUGACCUGUAUUGGAGAGGUGAGAGAGACGAGGUGGGAGAGGUGCGAGAGACGAGGUGGGAGAGGUGCGAGAGACGAGGUGGGAGAGGUGAGAGAGACGAGGUGGGAGAGGUGAGAGAGACGAGGUCCCAAGACCUGGGUUCAGGAGGUGGUGAACGUCUGCACGCCUCGGUUUUUCUGAUGUGGAGCAGUAUGGAAACCCCUUGGAUCAGAUCUCACCAAAUAGCACCGUGAAUGCGCCAGAUUUCUUCACCUGUAGGAAGCUAAACAGAUUUGAGCCUGCUCAGGACUGCAAUGGGUGGCCACCUGGAGUUUCCAGGUGUAGGACUGGGGCUGCGAAGUGACCAGGAGAUUGAAGAUCAGCAAUGAAUUCUUGAAUUUCUGUGUUUUUGUCACUUUGGUGACCCAGGUUACUUGCAAAUGACUUGAUCUCAAAAUAAACUUGAAACUUGUACUCGG